GCGGCAAAAGCUCAAAUUUAGAAAUCUGGUACCUUCGGUGCCCGAGUUGUAAUUUGUAGAAGGCGACUCUGGGGCUGGUCCUUGUCUAUGUUCCUUGGAACAGGACGUCAUGGAGGGUGAGAAUCCCGUAUGGCGAGGAUCCCAGUUCUUUGUAGAGUGCCUUCAAAAAGUCUAGUUGUUUGGGAAUGCACCUCUAAGUGGGUGGUAAAUUCCAUCUAAAGCUAAAUAUUGGCGAGAGACCGAUAGCGAACAAUUACAGUGAUGGAAAGAUGAAAAGAACUUUGAAAAGAGAGUGAAAAAGUACGUGAAAUUGUUGAAAGGGAAGGGCAUUUGAUCAGACAUGGUGUUUUGCGCCCCUCGCCUCUCGUGGGUGGGGGAAUCUCGCAGUUCACUGGGCCAGCAUCAGGUUUUGGCGGCAGGAUAAAUCCCUGGGAAUGUAGAUCUACCACUUCGUGGUGACACGAACUUAUAGGCCAGGUGCAAUACUGUCCAUUUGGGAACUGAUGAAUGCUUAAUUAUAGCUCAAGCGAAGGUGGACAUAGUGUGGUAUAUC
This 553-nucleotide ribosomal RNA is filed under the name Zygosaccharomyces sp. Its description in RNAcentral is "partial large subunit ribosomal RNA". It matches the Rfam family "Eukaryotic large subunit ribosomal RNA", at positions 98 to 623 of the family's 3401-position model. Lineage: Eukaryota; Fungi; Ascomycota; Saccharomycetes; Saccharomycetales; Saccharomycetaceae. The record is from RNAcentral.